UACAGAGGGUGCGAGCGUUGUCCGGAAUCACUGGGCGUAAAGGGCGCGUAGGUGGCUAGGUAAGCGUGCGGUGAAAGCCCGGGGCUCAACCCCGGGUCGGCCGUGCGGACUGCCUGGCUUGAGCACGGUAGAGGCCGAUGGAAUUCCGGGUGUAGCGGUGGAAUGCGUAGAGAUCCGGAAGAACACCGGUGGCGAAGGCGGUCGGCUGGGCCGAUGCUGACACUGAGGCGCGACAGCGUGGGGAGCAAACAGG
RNAcentral lists this ribosomal RNA (253 nucleotides) under uncultured Gemmatimonas sp. Its description in RNAcentral is "partial 16S ribosomal RNA". It matches the Rfam family "Bacterial small subunit ribosomal RNA", at positions 524 to 776 of the family's 1533-position model. Lineage: Bacteria; Pseudomonadati; Gemmatimonadota; Gemmatimonadia; Gemmatimonadales; Gemmatimonadaceae. The record is from RNAcentral.